This 460-nucleotide ribosomal RNA is filed under the name uncultured bacterium. RNAcentral describes it as "partial 16S ribosomal RNA". It matches the Rfam family "Bacterial small subunit ribosomal RNA", at positions 338 to 795 of the family's 1533-position model. The record is from RNAcentral.
CCUACGUGAGGCAGCAGUGAGGAAUAUUGGUCAAUGGCCGGAAGGCUGAACCAGCCAUGCCGCGUGAAGGUCAGUGCCCUAUGGGCGUUAAACUUCUUUUGUGCGGGAGCAAUCAUGGUCACGUGUGGCCAGACGAGAGUACCGUACGAAUAAGCAUCGGCUAACUCCGUGCCAGCAGCCGCGGUAAUACGGGGGAUGCAAGCGUUAUCCGGAUUUAUUGGGUUUAAAGGGUGCGUAGGCUGUGAGGUAAGUCAGCGGUGAAAUGCCCCCGCUCAACGGGGUGAAGUGACAUUGAUACUGCCUUGCUGGAAUGCGGAUGCCGUGGGAGGAAUGUGGGGUGUCGCGGUGAAAUGCAUAGAUAUCACACAGAACACCGAUUGCGAAGGCAUCUCACGAAUCCGCGAUUGACGCUGAUGCACGAAAGCGUGGGUAUCAAACAGGAUUAGAUACCCUAGUAGUC